UUUCUAAUUUUUUUUGAUUUUUUUGUUUUCUUUUU
RNAcentral lists this small RNA (35 nucleotides) under Arabidopsis thaliana (thale cress). RNAcentral describes it as "ATSL252520". The record is from RNAcentral. Lineage: Eukaryota; Viridiplantae; Streptophyta; Magnoliopsida; Brassicales; Brassicaceae.